UCACUAAUCAUCUACCAUGAGCACAUGAUAUUCUAACUUCCCCCUGGGGGCAGACUGUCACUUCUCUAGUUCACACCACCUCAGGUGACUUCCACUCCUGCAGGUGUUGUGUCUCUAGAACCUCUAACUUACCUGGAGACCAUAUCAGCCUGUGUCCUGGAGCCCGUGCCGAGCGGAGCACCGCUGUCAGUCCAGGAGGGACGUGAGGCGCGGAACAGGAGUCGGGACAGCAGGCGAAGGUGCCUUCACGACCCCGCUGAGCUCGCCUCCUGCACAGGUUCAGCUGCCGCCCUGUGAUCCUGCGUUCCCGGGCUCAGAGCCGGAGCCCACGUUUCCUCCAACUUCCUCUUCUGCCGAGGUUGGGGCUUCUUUCUUAAUUUGCAUCUGGUACAUCUCUUUAACAGUUCUAAUGUGUUUAUUCCUAUUUCCAAUCAAUCUUUUUCCCCCAGUUACUUUAUUGAGGUCAUAAUGGUUUAUAACAUUGUGUAAUUUUAGGUGUACAUUAUUAUUUACCAGUUUCUGUAUAGACUGCAUCGUGCUCACCACUAAUGGUCUAAUCUUUAUCCAACACCAUAUAUAUGUGCCCCUUUACCCCUUUCGCCCACCCCCCUAACACACUGGUUACCACUAAUCUGUUGUCUUUACCCAUGUGUUUAUCUUCCACGUAUGAGUGAAAUCGUAUAGUGUUCUUCUCUGUCUGGCUUAUUUCGUUUAACAUAAUACCCUCAAGCUCCAUACAUGGUGUUGCAAAUGGGACAAUUCUGUGUUUUUUUAUGAGUGAGUAGUAUUCCAUUGUAUAUAUAGACCACAUCUUCUUUAUCCAUUCUACAGUUCGUGGACACUUGGGUUGCUUCCAUGUCUUGGCUAUUGUGAGUAAUGCUGCAGUGAACAUAGGGCUGCACAGGUCUCUUUGCAUUGUUGAUUUCAAGUUCUUUGGAUAAAUACCCAGUAGUGUGAUGGCUGGGUCAUAUGGUAUUUCUAUCUUUAAUUUUUUACAAAAUCCCCAUACUGUUUCCCAGAGUGGCUGCACCAGUUUGCAUUCCCACCAGCAGUGUGUGAGGGUUCCCUUUUCUCCACAUCCUCUCCAACAUUUGUUAUUUUUUGUCUUGGUAAUUAUAGCUAUUCUGACAGGUGCAAGGUGACAUCUCAUUGUAGUUUUGAUUUGCAUUUCCCUAAUAAUUAGUGAUGUUGAACAUCUUUUCAUAUGUCUGUUGGCCAUUUGUAUAUAUUCUUUGGAAAUAUGUCUAUUCAUAUCCUCUACCCAUUUUUUGAUUGGGUUGUCUGGCUUUUGUUGUUGAGUUGUGUGAGGUCUUUAUAUAUUUUGGAAAUUUACCCCGUGUCAGAUAUAUGAUUUGAACAUAUUUUCUCCCAGUUGGUGGGUUGUCUUUUCAUUUUUUUCAUGGCUUCCUUUGCCUUACAGAAGCUUUUUAGUCUGAUGUAGUCCCAUUUAUUUUUUUCUUUUCUUUUGUUUCCCUUGGCUGAGUAGACAUGGUAUUCAAAAACAUGCUGCUAAGACCUAUAUCAAACAGUGUACUGCCUAUUUUCUUCUAGGAGUUUUAUGGUUUCAGGUCUUACAUUCAAGUCUUUAAUCCAUUUUGACUUAAUUUUUGUGUAUGGUACAAGAUAAUGGUCUGCUUUCAUUCUUUUGCAUAUGGCUGUCCAGUUUUCCAGACACUGUUUAUUGAAGAGACCUUCCUUUCUCCAUUGUAUGUUCUCAGCUCCCUUGUAGAAGAUCAACUGUCCAUAGAUGUGUGGUUUUAUUUCUGGGCUUUCAGUUCUGAUCCAUUGAUCUGUUUGUCUGUUUUUUGUGCCCCUACCAUGCUGGGUUGAUUACUGUAGCUUUGUAGUAUGUUUUGAAGUCAGGGAUUGUGAUGUCUCCAACUUUGUUCUUUUUUCUCAGGAUUGCUUUGGCUAUUCGGGGUCUUUUGUUGCCCCAUGCGAAUUUUAGGAUUCUUUGUUCUGUUUCCAUGAAGAAUGUCAUUGGGAUUCUGAUUGGGAUCGCAUUGAAUCUGUAGAUUGCUUAGGUAAUAUGGACGUUUUAACUAAGUUUAUUCUUCC
This is a long non-coding RNA of Equus caballus (horse), 2058 nucleotides long. NCBI's taxonomy places the organism in Eukaryota, Metazoa, Chordata, Mammalia, Perissodactyla, Equidae. The record is from Ensembl.